AGACCCGAAACCCGGUGAUCUAGCCAUGGGCAGGUUGAAGGUUGGGUAACACUAACUGGAGGACCGAACCGACUAAUGUUGAAAAAUUAGCGGAUGACCUGUGGCUGGGGGUGAAAGGCCAAUCAAACCGGGAGAUAGCUGGUUCUCCCCGAAAGCUAUUUAGGUAGCGCCUCGUGAAUUCAUCUCCGGGGGUAGAGCACUGUUUCGGCUAGGGGGCCAUCCCGGCUUACCAACCCGAUGCAAACUGCGAAUACCGGAGAAUGUUAUCACGGGAGACACACGGCGGGUGCUAACGUCCGUCGUGAAGAGGGAAACAACCCAGACCGCCAGCUAAGGUCCCAAAGUCAUGGUUAAGUGGGAAACGAUGUGGGAAGGCCCAGACAGCCAGGAUGUUGGCUUAGAAGCAGCCAUCAUUUAAAGAAAGCGUAAUAGCUCACUGGUCGAGUCGGCCUGCGCGGAAGAUGUAACGGGGCUAAACCAUGCACCGAAGCUGCGGCAGCGACGCUUAUGCGUUGUUGGGUAGGGGAGCGUUCUGUAAGCCUGUGAAGGUGGCCUGUGAGGGUUGCUGGAGGUAUCAGAAGUGCGAAUGCUGACAUAAGUAACGAUAAAGCGGGUGAAAAGCCCGCUCGCCGGAAGACCAAGGGUUCCUGUCCAACGUUAAUCGGGGCAGGGUGAGUCGACCCCUAAGGCGAGGCCGAAAGGCGUAGUCGAUGGGAAACAGGUUAAUAUUCCUGUACUUGGUGUUACUGCGAAGGGGGGACGGAGAAGGCUAUGUUGGCCGGGCGACGG
RNAcentral lists this ribosomal RNA (789 nucleotides) under Salmonella enterica. Its description in RNAcentral is "partial 23S ribosomal RNA". It matches the Rfam family "Bacterial large subunit ribosomal RNA", at positions 711 to 1501 of the family's 2925-position model. The record is from RNAcentral. Lineage: Bacteria; Pseudomonadati; Pseudomonadota; Gammaproteobacteria; Enterobacterales; Enterobacteriaceae.